This 253-nucleotide unclassified non-coding RNA is filed under the name Hevea brasiliensis (rubber tree). The record is from RNAcentral. Lineage: Eukaryota; Viridiplantae; Streptophyta; Magnoliopsida; Malpighiales; Euphorbiaceae.
GGCCAGAUAAAUUAUGAGGAAUUUGUGAAGGUCAUGAUGGCAAAGUGAUUAUCUACUCCCACCAAAACUAAACUGAAAGAAUUCUUAAAAGGUUAAGAAAGUAUUCCUAUUUUUCUUUGUCUUUUUUUUAAUUCUUUUUGUAGGGAUUUUAAUCGAUGCUUUUGGCUCAAAAGGUAGUUGUGAUUGUUCUUAGUGAUGGUCUUUUGGGUGUUUAUGACUUGCACUAAAUUGUCUUUGGCAAUUUAUGUUUCCA